Molecule: ribosomal RNA, 237 nt
Filed under: uncultured Glomus
Lineage: Eukaryota; Fungi; Glomeromycota; Glomeromycetes; Glomerales; Glomeraceae
Also listed under: 1 other name
Description: partial 18S ribosomal RNA
Rfam family: Eukaryotic small subunit ribosomal RNA (bases 47-237)
Source: RNAcentral
GGAUCAAUAUAUCGGUCGUGCCUUCGGUACGUACUGGUAUCAUUGGUUUCUCCUUUCUGACGAACCAUGAUGUCAUUAAUUUGGUGUUAUGGGGAGUUAGGACUGUUACUUUGAAAAAUUAGAGUGUUUAAAGCAGGCUUUAGCUUGAAUACACUAGCAUGGAAUAAUGAAAUAGGACGUUCGAACCUAUUUUGUUGGUUUCUAGGAUCAACGUAAUGAUUAAUAGGGAUAGUUGGG